UUGGAGGGCAAGUCUGGUGCCAGCAGCCGCGGUAAUUCCAGCUCCAAUAGCGUAUAUUAAAGUUGUUGCAGUUAAAAAGCUCGUAGUUGAAUUUCGGGAUCAGUACGCUGGUCAUGCCUUUGGUAUGCACUGGUGUCACUGGUUUCUCCCUUCUGAAGAUCCGUGAUGUCAUUAAUUUGGUGUCGCGGGGAAUCAGGACUGUUACUUUGAAAAAAUUAGAGUGUUUAAAGCAGGCUCACGCUUGAAUACAUUAGCAUGGAAUAAUGAAAUAGGACGUUUGACCCUAUUUUGUUGGUUUCUAGGAUCGACGUAAUGAUUAAUAGGGAUAGUUGGGGGCAUUAGUAUUCAAUUGUCAGAGGUGAAAUUCUUGGAUUUAUUGAAGACUAACUACUGCGAAAGCAUUUACCAAGGAUGUUUUCAUUAAUCAAGAACGAAAGUUAGGGGAUCGAAGACGAUCAGAUACCGUCGUAGUCUUAACCAUAAACUAUGCCGACUAGGGAUCGGAUGAUGUUAAUUUUAUAAUGACUCAUUCGGCGCCUUACGGGAAAC
This 549-nucleotide ribosomal RNA is filed under the name uncultured Glomeromycotina. RNAcentral's name for it is "SSU rRNA". It matches the Rfam family "Eukaryotic small subunit ribosomal RNA", at positions 548 to 1098 of the family's 1831-position model. Lineage: Eukaryota; Fungi; Glomeromycota. The record is from RNAcentral.